CCCUUCCCUACCCACACAUCCGCCCUAGGCCACGCCCCUUCCCCCCAGGGCCUCCUUCCGGCGCAAACCCCACCCCUUCCGGCGCUCUCCGCCAAUCCCGUCAUUCCUCCCCUCGCCGACGGUGCCGAUGGCGGCGGCGCUGCGCGCUCCGAGCGCCGCCGUCGGGGCCUUCGGGGUCGUCGUCGUCCGCCGGGACGGCGCCGGAGGGGAACGAGGAGUUGGAGGAGGAGGGGGGGCUCGGCGAAGGAGACGGAGGGGACGCCGCCAUCGAGGAUCCGGAACUGGAGGCCAUCAAAGCCCGCGUGCGAGAGAUGGAGGAGGAGGCAGAAAAGCUCAAAGAGCUCCAAAACGAAGUGGAGAAACAGAUGAAUAUGAGCCCCCCCCCGGGCAACGGUGGGCC
This 400-nucleotide long non-coding RNA is filed under the name Gallus gallus (chicken). The record is from RNAcentral. Lineage: Eukaryota; Metazoa; Chordata; Aves; Galliformes; Phasianidae.